CUGAAGGAAAGAGACUAGCAAUAGUAGAAAUAUUAGUGUCUCCACCUUAAGCUGGGUAGGGAUAUCAAGGGAAGGAGGAGCUAGUGAGACUUGUAAAGGUCCCCCUAAGUGUUCUGCAGAAGCAGAGACUGGAGAAGAACCCAUCCAAGGCAGAAGCUUCCUCAAUCUGCAUUGCAACCUGCUGCACAGGAUGUUCUCACUUCAUGGAAGCUGGGUCUCUCUGUUUGCCCUUACCUGCAGCAUGGCUGUGUUCCUUCACUAUGCUGAGAGCUUACCAAAAAAACCCGAACCUCCUCCUGGUGAUGCAUCAUCAGAGGAGGUGAGGGCCUACCAGAAAGUACUGAGGGAAUAUCUCAACGAGGAAGCAAAAGAGAGAAUAAAGGUCAUGAUGGAGGACAUGCAGAAAAAGAUGGGAUGAAUCCUCCUAAAGGAAGUAGAAGCUGAAGAAUGAAACCACGACUUCUCCUUGAUUGUCCAGUGAUUGCAUCUUCCCGUGAUGGCAUUGUAGACUCCUCUGCUAAGGAGAUCAUAGAGUCCACCACUUCAGCCUCUUUUCUUUUCUAUCCAUUUGUUAAUCUGAUCAGAAUAAUAAAUCAAGAUGAAUCUUA
Long non-coding RNA from Hemicordylus capensis (graceful crag lizard), 608 nucleotides. RefSeq lists it as uncharacterized. The record is from RefSeq and is a predicted model, not a curated record. The transcript has 3 exons. Lineage: Eukaryota; Metazoa; Chordata; Lepidosauria; Squamata; Cordylidae.